CCUACGGGUGGCAGCAGUGGGGAAUUUUGGACAAUGGGCGAAAGCCUGAUCCAGCAAUGCCGCGUGCAGGAUGAAGGCCUUCGGGUUGUAAACUGCUUUUGUACGGAACGAAAAAGCUCCUUCUAAUACAGGGGUGCCAUGACCGUACCGUAAGAAUAAGCACCGGCUAACUACGUGCCAGCAGCCGCGGUAAUACGUCGGGUGCGAGCGUUAAUCGGAAUUACUGGGCGUAAAGCGUGCGCUGGCGGUUAUGUAAGACAGAUGUGAAAUCCCCGGGCUCAACCUGGGAACUGCAUUUUUGACUGGAUGGCUAGAGUACGGUAGAGGCGGAUGGAAUUCGGCGUGUAGCAGUGAAAUGCGUAGAUAUGCGGAGGAACACCGAUGGCGAAGGCAAUCCCCUGGACCUGUACUGACGCUCAUGCACGAAAGCGUGGGGAGCAAACAGGAUUAGAUACCCCGGUAGUC
Molecule: ribosomal RNA, 465 nt
Filed under: uncultured bacterium
Lineage: Bacteria
Description: partial 16S ribosomal RNA
Rfam family: Bacterial small subunit ribosomal RNA
Source: RNAcentral